This 468-nucleotide ribosomal RNA is filed under the name uncultured bacterium. Its description in RNAcentral is "partial 16S ribosomal RNA". It matches the Rfam family "Bacterial small subunit ribosomal RNA", at positions 28 to 507 of the family's 1533-position model. The record is from RNAcentral.
GACGAACGCUGGCGGCGUGCUUAACACAUGCAAGUCGAACGGAAAGGCCCUGCUUUUGUGGGGUGCUCGAGUGGCGAACGGGUGAGUAACACGUGAGUAACCUGCCCUUGACUUUGGGAUAACUUCAGGAAACUGGGGCUAAUACCGGAUAGGAGCUCCUGCUGCAUGGUGGGGGUUGGAAAGUUUCGGCGGUUGGGGAUGGACUCGCGGCUUAUCAGCUUGUUGGUGGGGUAGUGGCUUACCAAGGCUUUGACGGGUAGCCGGCCUGAGAGGGUGACCGGCCACAUUGGGACUGAGAUACGGCCCAGAGUCCUACGGGAGGCAGCAGUGGGGAAUAUUGCACAAUGGGCGGAAGCCUGAUGCAGCAACGACGCGUGCGGGAUGACGGCCUUCUGGUUGUAAACCGCUUUCGCCUGUGACGAAGCGUGAGUGACGGUAAUGGGUAAAGAAGCACCGGCUAACUACGUG